UGCUCCCCAUACUUCCAGAUCCGUCAUAGCCGUGAAGGACAUGUGGCCCCUCGGUGUCUGAAUUUCUCGCUCUCAACGUGGUUUUGCUGUCUCAGUCUGUGUCCAGAGCUGCGUGAUCUUGAGUCCCUGAGAUUUCUGCUUUCUUAGACUACUGUUUUUGAGGUUUGGCCUUUACUACGUUCUUGGAGUUUAUAUUCCCUAUUGUUUUCGGUGUCUCGUAGUUUGUGCUUUACAGCAUGACGAUGUUCUGGUGGUCUAGUCUGCGUGAGUUUUUGUUUUCUGUAACGAUCGACCAUGCGAAGGAUCAUUCCAGUUUACGAGAGCUUGAAAUGCAAGAGUUCUGUAGCGAGUAGUAGUACUGAAGCCUUGGUUUCUCUGUUUCUCACCAUGUCUAAUUUGAUUUGCUGAGUUGAAGCUUCACCCACAAGUUGAUAGCUAGAUGCAGCUCGAGUUCUGUGUCAGCUAAUUGUAAUUAUUUUCUAGUGCGUAUUUGACUGCAAUCCGCUCGGGAAGGAAAUUUACAGCUUUCUCACAGAAGCUUUUGGGAUUACGCAGCAGGGGCGUAAAUGCAAGUAUAUACCUACUCCCACUGACCUACUGAGAUGCAGCAACUGCCAUUUGCACUCGCAACUGACAUGAUUCCGAAUGACUUGUGGACUUCUUCGUAAGGAGUUGCUCCUUAGUCCCUUCAAUCUGGACUCCUGUUGUUGAAGAGGAUGGGUUUUGCAUCAGCGAAGGCCUGAACACUUCAUCAAUGCACGUUUAGGUGCACAGCCGCAAGGUUCUUGUGCGAAUCUCCAUGUGCCCUUUGUUGCAGCAUUGAAGCCAUGCAAUCGACGUAACGCUGCAGCAGCGUGUUCCUUUAGACGCAUAUAUCAAUCAGAUAGCGAAUAUGAACAAUUUUGUAUUUCUAUGGCCCGUUCAGUGAGAGUUUUAUAGGACAUUUCACAUGCUUCUCCCAGGAAAGCGUCAAGAGGAUUUAAGUGACGAGAACCUAUCCCAAGGGACAAUGCUUGCGCGUUGUCAGGGUGAAUUUCACAACUGCGUAAUCUCUCAUGCAUUUCCUUCCCAACCAGUCGUACAAGUAUGAAAACUUUUAAAUUGCUUUUGUUAUGUAUAAACUGUGAAUGAAAUGGAAAUCUUGUUUGACAUCA
This is a non-coding RNA of Physcomitrium patens, 1154 nucleotides long. Lineage: Eukaryota; Viridiplantae; Streptophyta; Bryopsida; Funariales; Funariaceae. The record is from RefSeq and is a predicted model, not a curated record.